Molecule: ribosomal RNA, 410 nt
Filed under: uncultured bacterium
Lineage: Bacteria
Description: bacterial SSU rRNA
Rfam family: Bacterial small subunit ribosomal RNA
Source: RNAcentral
AGCAGUGGGGAAUUUUGGACAAUGGGCGCAAGCCUGAUCCAGCAAUGCCGCGUGAGUGAAGAAGGCCUUCGGGUUGUAAAGCUCUUUUGUCAGGGAAGAAACGGUGAGGGCUAAUAUCUCUUGCUAAUGACGGUACCUGAAGAAUAAGCACCGGCUAACUACGUGCCAGCAGCCGCGGUAAUACGUAGGGUGCAAGCGUUAAUCGGAAUUACUGGGCGUAAAGCGUGCGCAGGCGGUUUUGUAAGUUUGUCGUGAAAGCCCCGGGCUCAACCUGGGAAUUGCGAUGAAGACUGCAAGGCUUGAAUCUGGCAGAGGGGGGUAGAAUUCCACGUGUAGCAGUGAAAUGCGUAGAGAUGUGGAGGAACACCGAUGGCGAAGGCAGCCCCCUGGGGUCAAGAUUGACGCUCAUG